CUCCAGACUCCUACGGGAGGCAGCAGUGGGGAAUAUUGGGCAAUAGGCGCAAGCCUGACCCAGCAAUGCCGCGUGAAGGAAGAAGGCCCUCGGGUUGUAAACUUCUUUUAUCAGGGACGAAGGAUGUGACGGUACCUGAUGAAUAAGCUCCGGCUAACUACGUGCCAGCAGCCGCGGUAAUACGUAGGGAGCGAGCGUUGUCCGGAAUUACUGGGUGUAAGGGGAGCGUAGGCGGGCGAGAAAGUUGAAUGUUAAAUCUACCGGCUUAACUGGUAGCUGCGUUCAAAACUUCUUGUCUUGAGUGAAGUAGAGGCAGGCGGAAUUCCUAGUGUAGCGGUGAAAUGCGUAGAUAUUAGGAGGAACACCAGUGGCGAAGGCGGCCUGCUGGGCUUUAACUGACGCUGAGGCUCGAAAGUGUGGGUAUCAAACAGGAUUAGAUACCCCAGUAGC
RNAcentral lists this ribosomal RNA (450 nucleotides) under uncultured bacterium. RNAcentral's name for it is "bacterial SSU rRNA". It matches the Rfam family "Bacterial small subunit ribosomal RNA", at positions 329 to 794 of the family's 1533-position model. The record is from RNAcentral.